Molecule: long non-coding RNA, 5007 nt
Filed under: Sus scrofa (pig)
Lineage: Eukaryota; Metazoa; Chordata; Mammalia; Artiodactyla; Suidae
Description: lncRNA (ENSSSCG00050003727.1)
Source: RNAcentral
GACUAAAAGAGGGUGAGAAAUAGCAGCCCAGGACUGCAUUCACAGUGAGCCAUGCUGGAUAAGACAGGGAUGAAGAAACAGGGCACAGGACUGUCCCCAGGCCUGCCUUCUGGGAUGAGGGGGGGCCUCCUCCCACUGUGAGGGGCUCCUUGACUCAGGGACCUCCCACCUGGGGGAGGCUGAGUGCACUCCCCCACUUCAGCCUCCCUGGCAUAGAUGAGGCUCAUUCUCAGCUUCUCCUGGAGGGAAAGAAAAGCUCGUAAAUUGUUACCAGUUUUUCCCUCACUUUUAUGUUUCCUCUUCAUGUUUAACCUUUGAUUAUUUGAUUAAGAUCUCUAAGAGGAGCUUGUUCAGUCUAAGCUCAAUUCGCCUUCAUUAUCAUUCCUCAGAAUCCUUGAACAUAAAGGGAUCUAAACCAAACGUCUGGACAUUGAGCGCAGCCGUGCAAACAGCCUCUGGUAAUUCCAGGCAAGGAGUGAAGAUAUCCAGCAAAUGGCAAGCAGUGGAGGUCGUACCUAUUUUCUUUCUGAGAUGAUCCCCAACAGGGAGUCAGGACUAGUCCUUAAAUUAUGUUUGUUUACAAAAGUUGCUUUACCUUUUUGAGCUUAAAAGUCCAGCUGUGCACAAAAGGAGAUCACGGACCAUUGCAAUUAAAAGGGACUUUGGUGUUUACUUAGUUCUCCCCAUUGCAUCUCACAUGGUGGAAAGGGACAGCGGGAGAAGCGUAAUUCGAAAUUUCUAACAGCCUUAACAGCAUUCUGUAGCUAUUUUCCUCUAGAGAACUUAGAAGCAGUUGAAAGUACUUUUAAAUGGCUACUGUGGUCUGAUUUAUUCCUCCAGAAGGAGGACCGCAAAUGUGAGGAUGGGAACAGAAGUGAGGAAAACACACUGAAUCAAUGGACACAAAAGAAGAAUGAUUACGAAAAGCCUGCCUGAGCUUAUUCGGAUUCAUUCCACCCUAAACAAAUCCUCAAAUAGAGAAAGCACCAUCAAAUAUUGAUGAAAUAAGGGAAAAUGCCAAGUUACCCACUUCUUCUUAAAAUGUACUAAUGAACAGAUCCAGUGAUGUUUACACGUCUUAACUGCUAAUUCAAUAAACAUUAAUGAGCAUCAGCUCUGUCCUAAAUCCAUGGCGAUUAGGGUAAAAGUAAGGAUGUACAUAUGCAUGGGGAGAAGAGCAAACAUUUAUGGAGGGCUACAAUGGCACUGGGCUAAGUAUUAGCUCAUUUAACCUUAGUCAUAAGUACAAUUGUUUGCCCAUUUUAUAGGUAAGGAAACUGAAAUUUAGAACAGGGAAGUAACUCGCCCGAGAUUCCAGAGCUGGCAGGUGACUGCGUUGUGUUCCUGACCCAGGUCAGCCCUAGUUCCUAACUGAGGUGCUUUACUGACUCCCAGAAGACAAGCUCCCCUGAACUUGUAGUUGGAUAGGUGGGGCUCACGGGACAGAAUCCAUAGGAUGAGGACCCCAAGUGGGAAAGGAUAUAGUUAAAGGAGAGUCACAGGGAAGGUCAUACUAGGGCAGGAGCUAAAGAACGAGGGAGGAGGCAUCCUUUCAGAGAGAGGUGGGAAAGUGGGCUUUAGGGAUAAACAGAAGCAUCCUACCUGGCACCAUGGGAGAACCAGAUGGUGCUAGGGUCACUCCAGUCACACCCCAGCCGCUCAGCUUUGGGCCUAAAUCAGUUUCAGAAAGAGAGCAGCCUUGGUGCAGUCAGGGGGAAGAGGAAGCUCUGUAGCCCACCUGGAAAUUGCUCAUGGCCAUCACCGCUCAGGCUCUUUGUAGCUUGGUGCCCUUCAGCCUUUUCAGGUGUCUACCCCAGCUAGACACUGCCCUGGGGUAGACUAGCCUGGGGGGUUGUGGAGGGAGAGGUGCAAUUAAACAGAGCUGCCCAGAACCAGGCAUUACUGAAGACAGUGUCAAGUGAGUGUGCCUUCUCCAGGACGGCCCCCUUCCCAUAGCCCAUGGCUUUAUUCAGCCUCCGCUUGUGGAUUAGCAAAGGCUGGGUUCCACAGGUGCUAUUGAUGCCCACCCAAGGCUCUAACAGAGCUAUCUCUCUGUCCAUUUCUUUGUACUGUUUAAGAAAAGUCGUCUUGUUUAAAAGAUAAAUAUAAGAAAGUCAUGGCUAAGUCAUGGACACUAGUUAGCUGAGUCGUCCCAGGGCCCCUGGUAAUAUUAGCUCAAUUCUUAGAGAAACCUUUCUUUUCUCUCUUGAAAACUGGGUUUUCUCUUUUUCUGUUUUCUGCCCUUAAUCAUCUUUAAGCUCCCUCUUCCUUUCGUCCAAUUUUUUUCCAUCAACCUCUGGUGGCCCUCUUGUGGUCACAGGCCACCUCCAUCUGAAUUCCCUUGGAUGGCUGGAUCAAUGCAGAGCCCCGGGCUUGCUGCAGACCCACUGACACAGUCCUGCAGAGCUGGGAGUUACAUUUUAAAUAACUCUUCCAGGUCACUUUUUGCUCACUACAGGUUGAGAACCACUGUCCUGGGGACAAGGAACCUGGAAACUUUUAAUUCUCUGAUCUCAUCCUCCAUCUCCCAAGGAAACUUCUUUAGUAAAGGGAGAUGCUGAGAAGGCACAGGGACAGUCUAGGGCUUAGCCUUUCCUUGUCAUCUUGUGUUUACUUGUCUGUCUCCUCUGCUAGACUGUGUGUCUCUAGGAUGAGAAUCAUGUUCUCUUCAGUUCUCCAGAGCUGGGUCUUGGGACGAUGGGUGGGUCACCAUGGACACUCUGCAGUAUUAGUGGAAUGAAUAAAUUGUUGAUGUAACAAACCCUCCCUCCCUCUCUUCUACUCUUUCCUCCUCUCCUUUCUCUUGGGCGCCCCAUUGGCCUUGGGCAUAGAACACCAAUGUUUUAAGAGGCAGUUAAUGUUUAAAGGGACAAAAUCAGGCACAGGCCAGGCAGUGGCUGGUUGCUCAACCGACAAACAAAUCCACCUUCUUCUGUUCUUUCCUAAGCCAACAGGAAGCAGCCAGGAGACGGUCACUCACCCAGCUGGGCUCAGAUCCACCAUCCUCUCCACCCACACAGCAAUUGCGCAAUGUUGCUGCAACAACCUGAGGCUAUAAAUAGUCUAUUAAGAAGUUACACAGGAGAUUGAGCAGGCCUGAUGGGUGGCCCCCAUUUGCUCCCCUUCAGACAAGUGGAGAAAAUUUUUGUAAAGUGCCACUUACAAGAAUCCAAGCCUGGGGCAAAAUAUUCUACCUUUCCCUUGGAUUUCCGUCUGCUCCCCCUGGUUCAGACAGCUUUUUAGGGUCUCUGAUGCUUUCUGCUUAUCAUUGGCCCAUGUGGAAUUUUGUCCUGCUGAUGCAAUAAUAAUGAAGGUAAUGAUAGUAAUUUGUUAGUUGGUCUUCCUUCCUCCCCGUACCUGUGUCCCCUUUUUUUUUGUCUUAUCUCUGAUCUCUUCUGCCUGGACAGUGUCAUGUUUUCCACACCAAUUCAUGCCUCCCUCUCUUCAGUCUACAAGGUCAAUUCCAUGCAUUUGCUUUUCUCAUGAUUUUUCUUCAGAAUUUUUCGAUGACUUCUCAUUGCAUGAAACAGUGGCCUACAAUGUUUUCAACACAUACUACCCUUAUUCUUAACAUAUAUAUUAAUUUAUGAAUUAAAUACAUGUGCUACUGCCAGUUCAUAUAAAAUAUUAGGAAAGCUUACUUUCACUAACUUUUUACUAGCAUAAAUAUAAAUAGGAGUGCUAAUAUUUUCUCCCUGUACUCCAAUGGAUCAUUUUGAAUACCUCACAGUGGCCCACUGAGGAUGACUGACAUUGAAUCAUUCUGCUGGGUCACCAAAGCCUUCUAGGACCUGGUUCCAGGUCAUUCAUUCAUUCACUCAGCAUUUCUUAGUAAUUGCUGUAGCCAGGCCUGGGGCAAGGCUCAGGGGGUAAUAAUAAGUAGUCACAGCCCCAGUAGAUCAGGAGCUUACAUGUGAGUGGAGGAGGUAAACACAUAAGUAAAUAACUCUUGGAGAGACACAUGGGAGUCAUAAGAUGUUUUGACAAACUAAAUUCUCCUUUAAAUGUGUUUUUACCAGUCUUCCCCAGAGGAAUGGUGGAAUAUGAAGAGAAAGAAUAAAAUCAGCUGUUCAGGUCUAAUGGGAAGAGAAUAUCAAAAUGGUCAAAUCCUCAUUGCUCUUGGGCUUUGAGACUACUCUCAUAGUUCCUUGAUCAAAGAGUUAAAAAACAAAACAAAACAAAGCAAAACAAAGUGGUCAGCUUUGCUCCACUUCCAAGUAAUGCUGCCAAAGCUGGAUAUGCCAUCAAGCAAUUUGACCUCAAAAACGGCACCUGAACCACAGCCAUAGGUUGAGCAAAGCCCACGUAUCACCAUCAUAUUUUCUUAGGGCAGGUCUGCACACCGUCCCUCCCCGAACAUGCACCCUUAGAUAUCUGCCCCUUCUCAGGGUGCUUGAAGCUGAUGGCCUGGGAUACUAAGAAGGAGCUACAGCAAGGGCCACAGCCCCCAGACAGCAGGAUGUACCUCUCCCCAAAGUCUAAAGGCAAGUUCAAGAAUGUCCAGUGUUAGGACUCACCCUCCAUAUCUGGGAUCAGUGAUUAUUGGGAAGGCUUCCUAAUGACAUGCAGGCAUGUUCCUUGUAGACUCUCAGGAGUCAAUCAACCCAAACUUUACUACAAGCCAAAGUUUUGAAAUACAACACAGUGACAGAUGGAUGUAGUAUAAAAGAAACUGAAAAUGGAGAGUAAGAACUUUUCAUUUCUUUGUCUCCAUAGUUUUCUGGAUGGGAGACACUUGCCAUCUACCUUUCAUCUUUAUUAUGCUUUUGUUAAGAAAUUGAUAUUUGGGAGUUCCUGUCAUGGCACAGUGGGAAAGGAAUCCAACUAGGAACCAUGAGGUUGCGGGUUCGAUCCCUGGCCUUGCUCAGUGGGUUAAGGAUCUGACAUUGCCGUGAGCUGUGGUAUAGGUCGCAGAUGUGGCUCAGAUCUGGCAUUGCUGUGGCUGUUGUGUAGGCUAGCAGCUACAGCUCUGAUUAGACCCCUAGCCUGGGAACCUCCAUAUGCUGC